RNAcentral lists this ribosomal RNA (426 nucleotides) under Triticum aestivum (bread wheat). Its description in RNAcentral is "partial small subunit ribosomal RNA". Lineage: Eukaryota; Viridiplantae; Streptophyta; Magnoliopsida; Poales; Poaceae. The record is from RNAcentral.
AUGCCUUACGAUGAGCGGUACACACCGUACAUCAAGCAGGCAGGACUACUCCCGUGGGUUCUGUUGGUCAGCCGGUCCACGCCGAAUCUGAACGCUCCACUGGUGUCCACUCUUGUUGAUCGAUGGAGGCCGGAGACGCACAGUUUCCAUCUUCGGACUGGGGAGAUGACCGUGGCACUCGAGGAUGUCUCGUUGAUCACCGGUCUUGCUAUCGACGGGAGGCCUCUCUGUAUGAGCACCGAUUCUGAUGGGUGGCGCGAGCAGAUGAUUGCUCUUAUCGGUAUGGCUCCUACCGAGGCUGAGGCUGAUGUAGAGGAGGGAGAAGAGAAGAAGAAGAGGCAAAGUAAAGCAGCCGGAGCUGCUUUCAUGUGGAUUCAAAAUAACUUUGCGACGUGCCCUCCGGUUGCCACUGAUGAUGUGAUCUAG